Molecule: transfer RNA, 73 nt
Filed under: Plesiocystis pacifica
Lineage: Bacteria; Pseudomonadati; Myxococcota; Nannocystales; Nannocystaceae
Also listed under: 1 other name
Description: tRNA-Arg
Rfam family: tRNA
About the family: Transfer RNA (tRNA) molecules are approximately 80 nucleotides in length. Their secondary structure includes four short double-helical elements and three loops (D, anti-codon, and T loops).
Source: RNAcentral
GCGCUCGUAGCUCAGCCGGAAGAGCGCAGGAUUCCUAAUCCUGAGGCCGCAGGUUCGAACCCUGCCGGGCGCA